Molecule: ribosomal RNA, 1685 nt
Filed under: uncultured bacterium
Lineage: Bacteria
Description: 16S ribosomal RNA
Rfam family: Bacterial small subunit ribosomal RNA
Source: RNAcentral
AGAGUUUGAUCCUGGCUCAGGAUGAACGCUAGCUACAGGCUUAACACAUGCAAGUCGAGGGGCAGCAUAGAAGUUAGCUUGCUAACUUCGGAUGGCGACCGGCGGAUGGGUGAGUAACACGUAUCCAACCUGGCCUUUACAAUGGGAUAGGCUUUCGAAAGAAAGAUUAAUACUGUAUGUUCCGUGAUCUCCGCAUGGAGAUUCCGGCAAAGAUUUAUCGGUAAAGGAUGGGGAUGCGUUCCAUUAGGCAGUUGGCGGGGUAACGGCCCACCAAACCUACGAUGGAUAGGGGUUCUGAGAGGAAGGUCCCCCACAUUGGAACUGAGACACGGUCCAAACUCCUACGGGAGGCAGCAGUGAGGAAUAUUGGUCAAUGGGCGAGAGCCUGAACCAGCCAAGUAGCGUGAAGGAUGACUGCCCUAUGGGUUGUAAACUUCUUUUAUAAGGGAAUAAAGUGGAGUAUGUAUACUCCUUUGUAUGUACCUUACGAAUAAGGAUCGGCUAACUCCGUGCCAGCAGCCGCAGUAAUACGGAGGAUCCGAGCGUUAUCCGGAUUUAUUGGGUUUAAAGGGAGCGUAGGCGGAUGUUUAAGUCAGUUGUGAAAGUUUAAGGCUCAACCUUGAAAUUGCAGNUGAUACUGGAUAUCUUGAGUACAUUGAAUGUGGGCGGAAUUCGNGGUGUANCGGNGAAAUGCUUANAUAUCACGAANAACUCCAAUUGCGAAGGCAGCUCACAGUAAUGGAACUGACNCUGAUGCUCNAAAGNGNGGGUAUCAAACAGGAUUANAUACCCUGGNAGUCCCCCAGNNAACNAUGAANACUCCCUGNUUGCGAUAUACANNACAUUUNNGUGGGUGAANCGGNUAAANGNNUNNNAUUAUCCCNGAAGNACUCCCAAUUGNGAAGGNCAGCUCCCAGUAAUGGUAACUGCCCCUUGAUGCUCNAAAGUGUGGGUNUCNAACCCAGGAUUAGAAUACCCCUGGUAGUCCNCCCCAGUAACCGAUGAAUACUCGGCUGUUUUGCGAUAUACAGUAAAGCGGGCCAAGCGAAAAGCGUUAAGUAUUCCACNUGGGGAGUACGCCGGGCAACGGUGAAACUCAAAGGAAUUGACGGGGGCCCGCACAAGCGGAGGAACAUGUGGUUUAAUUCGAUGAUACGCGAGGAACCUUACCCGGGCUUGAAUUGCACUCGAAUAUGGUUGAAAGAUCAUAGCCGCAAGGCGAGUGUGAAGGUGCUGCAUGGUUGUCGUCAGCUCGUGCCGUGAGGUGUCGGCUUAAGUGCCAUAACGAGCGCAACCCUUAUUUCCAGUUACCAUCGGGUGAUGCCGGGGACUCUGGAAAGACUGCCGUCGUAAGAUGUGAGGAAGGUGGGGAUGACGUCAAAUCAGCACGGCCCUUACGUCCGGGGCUACACACGUGUUACAAUGGGUGGUACAGAAGGCAGCUACACGGCAACGUGAUGCUAAUCCCAAAAACCACUCUCAGUUCGGAUUGGAGUCUGCAACCCGACUCCAUGAAGCUAGAUUCGCUAGUAAUCGCGCAUCAGCCACGGCGCGGUGAAUACGUUCCCGGGCCUUGUACACACCGCCCGUCAAGCCAUGAAAGCCGGGGGUACCUGAAGUGCGUAACCGUAAGGAGCGCCCUAGGGUAAAACUGGUAAUUGGGGCUAAGUCGUAACAAGGUAGCC